AGUGAACGCUGGCGGUAGGCCUAACACAUGCAAGUCGAACGGCAGCACAGUAAGAGCUUGCUCUUAUGGGUGGCGAGUGGCGGACGGGUGAGGAAUACAUCGGAAUCUACUUUUUCGUGGGGGAUAACGUAGGGAAACUUACGCUAAUACCGCAUACGACCUACGGGUGAAAGCAGGGGAUCUUCGGACCUUGCGCGAUUGAAUGAGCCGAUGUCGGAUUAGCUAGUUGGCGGGGUAAAGGCCCACCAAGGCGACGAUCCGUAGCUGGUCUGAGAGGAUGAUCAGCCACACUGGAAGUGAGACACGGUCCAGGCUCCUACGGGAGGCAGCAGUGGGGAAUAUUGGACAAUGGGCGCGAGCCUGAUCCAGCCAUACCGCGUGGGUGAAGAAGGCCUUCGGGUUGUAAAGCCCUUUUGUUGGGAAAGAAAAGCAGCAGGUUAAUACCCCGCUGUUCUGACGGUACCCAAAGAAUAAGCACCGGCUAACUUCGUG
Molecule: ribosomal RNA, 492 nt
Filed under: uncultured bacterium
Lineage: Bacteria
Description: partial 16S ribosomal RNA
Rfam family: Bacterial small subunit ribosomal RNA
Source: RNAcentral